AAUCAACGCUGGCGGCGCGCUUAACACAUGCAAGUCGCACGAGAAAGGGGAGCAAUCCCUGAGUAAAGUGGCGUACGGGUGAGUAACACGUGGAUCAUCUACCUUCUAGUGGGGAAUACCUCUGGGAAACCGGAGACAAUACCGCAUAAGCUCGUGAGAGGAAAGCAGCAAUGCGCUGGAAGAGGAGUCCGCGGCUGAUUAGCUUGAUGGCGGGGUAACGGCCCACCAUGGCGAAGAUCGGUAGCCGGCCUGAGAGGGCACACGGCCACA
This 270-nucleotide ribosomal RNA is filed under the name uncultured bacterium. Its description in RNAcentral is "partial 16S ribosomal RNA". It matches the Rfam family "Bacterial small subunit ribosomal RNA", at positions 32 to 312 of the family's 1533-position model. The record is from RNAcentral.